AUCUUUCUAGUACAAAACAGUAUAAGUGACUUCCAAUCACUUGAUCUUGGUUAAAAUCCAAGGAAAGAUA
This 70-nucleotide transfer RNA is filed under the name Helostoma temminkii (kissing gourami). Its description in RNAcentral is "tRNA-Gly". It matches the Rfam family "tRNA". Rfam says of the family: Transfer RNA (tRNA) molecules are approximately 80 nucleotides in length. Their secondary structure includes four short double-helical elements and three loops (D, anti-codon, and T loops). Further hydrogen bonds mediate the characteristic L-shaped molecular structure. tRNAs have two regions of fundamental functional importance: the anti-codon, which is responsible for specific mRNA codon recognition, and the 3' end, to which the tRNAs corresponding amino acid is attached (by aminoacyl-tRNA synthetases). tRNAs cope with the degeneracy of the genetic code in two manners: having more than one tRNA (with a specific anti-codon) for a particular amino acid; and 'wobble' base-pairing, i.e. permitting non-standard base-pairing at the 3rd anti-codon position. Lineage: Eukaryota; Metazoa; Chordata; Actinopteri; Anabantiformes; Helostomatidae. The record is from RNAcentral.